Molecule: ribosomal RNA, 405 nt
Filed under: uncultured bacterium
Lineage: Bacteria
Description: bacterial SSU rRNA
Rfam family: Bacterial small subunit ribosomal RNA
Source: RNAcentral
CAAGGAAUUUUCCGCAAUGGGCGAAAGCCUGACGGAGCAACGCCGCGUGGGGGAGGACGCCCUUCGGGGUGUAAACCUCUUUUCUCGGGGACGACGAGCGACGGUACCCGAGGAAGAAGGACCGGCAAACUACGUGCCAGCAGCCGCGGUAAUACGUAGGGUCCGAGCGUUGUCCGGAGUUACUGGGCGUAAAGCGCGCGCAGGCGGCUAUCCAAGCCCGGCGUGAAAGCCCCCGGCUCAACCGGGGAGGGUCGUCGGGGACUGGGUGGCUUGAGGUUGGCAGGGGUUGGUGGAAUUCCCGGUGUAGUGGUGAAAUGCGUAGAGAUCGGGAGGAACACCCGUGGCGAAGGCGGCCAACUGGGCCAUACCUGACGCUGAGGCGCGAAGGCGUGGGGAGCGAACGGG